UUAUAGAUAUCAAUGAAAUUUUGCAAAUAACUAUUUUUGAACAGAAAAUAGUUACAAAAUAGCUAAAAAUGACUAUUUUUUUAUGGUUAUACAAAAACUAUCUUGUAAAAGCGUGCCAGUGCGAGUACAAGUUUUAAGUCGUGUGGUACAAAAAGGGAGAUUUUUUUAAAAAGUAUUAUGUUGUUUGUUUAAUUUUAUUCUUUGUAAGCAAAGUCUACAUUUUCGAGGAAAACCAGUCCGUCUCCAAAUAAAGCAGUAACUCGUACUACCAGAGGUCUGGGUUCGUAUCCCAACGUCCACUGCCAACAACCUUUUCUUCUUGCCUCUUGCCAACAAGACUAUCAUUAUCAUCAAAAAGUGCAUUGCUGCUAAGCCUAGCUUAGUUCGAACACGGAAACUUUGGUUUCUUCUUAAAUGAAGAAUGAAGAAGAAAAACUCAAAGUAGUUCGCUGAUAUCAAAGCAGGAUCAAAUGCUGAAAACGCCGCUGCUGUUGCUGCCGCUGAUGUUGAAGCAAAAUGCUGACUUGAGCUACUACUCGCCGAUUGAGAACUUGAACUCGUCGUACUCCUUAAAGCUGGUAAAUUAACAUAAGGAGCAACUCUACACGGUUCCAAUGGGGUUGAAACUGGUGGGCUAUGACUUGAAAGAAGAAUUCCUAAAACGACAAAGAAAUAAAAAAAAGACACAAGAUGAAAAAGCGAUAAAGCCUAAUGAAUUGGAAGCAAAAUGUUAACAGAAAAUUUUUUUUAAGUUUCCCAAGCCGAUAGCAAACAAACAGAACAAGAAUGUCCAGGACGCCAGGACAGUAAAAAAUGCAUACCUACUGAAUAACGAAAAGCAUAACGAAAUUGUCUGUUCACGAUUUCUUUAUGCUAAUUUUGUAUGAAAUCCUCGUACGAAGCUGAAGCGAAGCAAGAGUGAUUGAAAAAUUUGAGAAAAUUUCAAAAUAAUCUGGCACAAAUGUGAUUUUGGCUUAUAGAACCGCGUGUUGGAAAACGAAAAGCAUAAAGAAAAUUUUCGUUUACGACAUAAUUGUUUUGCAUGAGAUUUUUCGUUUCUCUCCAGCAUUAUUUAGCGUGCAAAAAUAAAAUUAACUAGUAGGUAUUUGGUAUGA
Long non-coding RNA from Episyrphus balteatus (marmalade hoverfly), 1115 nucleotides. RefSeq lists it as uncharacterized. The record is from RefSeq and is a predicted model, not a curated record. Lineage: Eukaryota; Metazoa; Arthropoda; Insecta; Diptera; Syrphidae. The transcript is spliced from 5 exons.